UACGAAGGGUGCAAACGUUGCUCGGAAUUAUUGGGCGUAAAGCGCACGUAGGCGGCAUUGCAAGUCCCAUGUGAAAGCCCACGGCUUAACCGUGGAAGUGCAUGGGAAACUGCAGUGCUUGAGUACUUAAGAGGAUCGCGGAAUUCCCGGUGUAGAGGUGAAAUUCGUAGAUAUCGGGAGGAACACCAGUGGCGAAGGCGGCGAUCUGGGAAGAUACUGACGCUGAGGUGCGAAAGCGUGUGGAGCAAACAGG
This 253-nucleotide ribosomal RNA is filed under the name uncultured bacterium. RNAcentral's name for it is "partial 16S ribosomal RNA". It matches the Rfam family "Bacterial small subunit ribosomal RNA", at positions 524 to 776 of the family's 1533-position model. The record is from RNAcentral.